AAUUCCUCACGAGCCCCUCCUUGGGGUCAGCUCCUCCUAGACCAGGCCCAGCAGGCAGGGCUGCAGGAGGGGCUCACACUCCCAAGAGGCUCCGGGUCGUGUAGGGACAUCUUCCAACACAUAACCCAAACGCCGACGCCGACACCGAGGGCAGUUUCAGGGAGCAGAGGCGCUCACCACAGGACAACAGUCAAGAGGCAAGAGGCGGCAGCAAGGGGUACAGCCGGGGACCUGGGUGGCCGUUUGAAGGGGUCUUCCCCCUCCUCAGACCCACUGCCCGCUCCCGGCCCUCCUUUCCCGCGCAUACAUCUCCCAAACAUGGGCCCCUCCAGCCCCGACUUCUGGGUGAACCCCAGAUUCGGAGAGCACUAGGGCAGGUGUACCAUGGGGGGCUUUUUGGGAACCGGUUUUCCCCGGCUCCCGGCUCCCGUUGGAACUUCCAGAGCGCCGCGCCCCGGGACCCUGGAAGCCCGCCCGUCCCCGCCCCCCGCGGCCGCGACCUCAGCGCUCCCGGUGCGGUUCCCGGAAACUCCUCGAUUUCCCUGUGGCCUCCGCUUUUGCAAGAAACCGAAACCCAAGCCCCGCCCCUCCGGCGCGGCCUCGCGGGACCCGGCUGCUCUCAGCAGGGGGGCGGUGGAGCGCAGCGGCAGUGACCUAACGGGGCCUCGCCUGCAGCUUGGGAGGCGGCUCGCGGUGUACUGGCCACAUGGGGUGCGGAGUGUGGGGGCCCAGGAGCGUUUACAAAGAGCUGCCCCCUGCCCACCCCGCGUUGCUAGUUUCGCGGCGGCGGCGUGUCUUGGGCGCAGAGGUGUCUGGCGACCUGCCCGGGGUCACACAGCCUGCAGCUGGAGGCCGCGCACGCCCUGGCCGCAGCGGGAGGCGGGGCGCCCAGGCCACCCGCAGGGCGAGCCUCGUGCACCCCAACUCUCCCAAGUCUGAUUUCUGAGAGCAUUUCCUGUUCCGCACACACGUCAGUCAGCAGAUGAUCUGCCUGGAGGUUACC
RNAcentral lists this long non-coding RNA (1003 nucleotides) under Heterocephalus glaber (naked mole-rat). RNAcentral describes it as "lncRNA (ENSHGLG00000041779.1)". The record is from RNAcentral. Lineage: Eukaryota; Metazoa; Chordata; Mammalia; Rodentia; Bathyergidae.